GUCUAAUGCCAUACCACCCUGAUCCUGGAAGUUAAGCAGGGUCGGGCCUGGCCAGGACUUGGAUGGGAAACCGGCUAGGAAUACUGGAAGCAGUAUGCU
Molecule: ribosomal RNA, 99 nt
Organism: Cercocebus atys (sooty mangabey)
Lineage: Eukaryota; Metazoa; Chordata; Mammalia; Primates; Cercopithecidae
Source: Ensembl